Molecule: ribosomal RNA, 586 nt
Filed under: uncultured bacterium
Lineage: Bacteria
Description: partial 16S ribosomal RNA
Rfam family: Bacterial small subunit ribosomal RNA
Source: RNAcentral
UGGGGAAUUUUGGACAAUGGGCGAAAGCCUGAUCCAGCAAUGCCGCGUGUGUGAAGAAGGCCUUCGGGUUGUAAAGCACUUUUGUCCGGAAAGAAAUCCUUGGCUCUAAUACAGUCGGGGGAUGACGGUACCGGAAGAAUAAGCACCGGCUAACUACGUGCCAGCAGCCGCGGUAAUACGUAGGGUGCAAGCGUUAAUCGGAAUUACUGGGCGUAAAGCGUGCGCAGGCGGUUUGCUAAGACCGAUGUGAAAUCCCCGGGCUCAACCUGGGAACUGCAUUGGUGACUGGCGGGCUAGAGUAUGGCAGAGGGGGGUAGAAUUCCACGUGUAGCAGUGAAAUGCGUAGAGAUGUGGAGGAAUACCGAUGGCGAAGGCAGCCCCCUGGGCCAAUACUGACGCUCAUGCACGAAAGCGUGGGGAGCAAACAGGAUUAGAUACCCUGGUAGUCCACGCCCUAAACGAUGUCAACUAGUUGUUGGGGAUUCAUUUCCUUAGUAACGUAGCUAACGCGUGAAGUUGACCGCCUGGGGAGUACGGUCGCAAGAUUAAAACUCAAAUGAAUUGACGGGGUCAUAGCUGUUUCCUG